AUGUUGAUAGUUGACGAAUUUGAAGAGGCAUGGAAGUUCCUAAUAGAUAAAUAUAACCUGAAGUCACAUGAGUACAUGACCCAGCUGUACGAUAUGCGGCACAAACGGGCGAAGCCUUAUUUCACAGAUGUGUUCUGCGCAAAAAUGAGUAGUACUCAGAGGAGUGAAAGCACAAAUCAUAUGCUGAAGAACUACAUACCACCGGGGUGCCCGAUGCACCUGUUUGUGCGGAAAUACAUGGUUCUGCAAUUCGACAGGGAAGCAGAGGAAAAUUAUGAAGAAAAACGUACAAGAAUUGUAAGCUACUGUUCCCUGGGGGGGGGGCAACACAAGUUUUCAUUGAUAGGAUGGUUUCAGUCUUCUGAUAUGCCUAACUGUCACAUCCCUAGUCUGGUAUGA
This 399-nucleotide ribosomal RNA is filed under the name Triticum aestivum (bread wheat). Its description in RNAcentral is "partial small subunit ribosomal RNA". The record is from RNAcentral. Lineage: Eukaryota; Viridiplantae; Streptophyta; Magnoliopsida; Poales; Poaceae.